Zonotrichia albicollis (white-throated sparrow) is the source of this 5076-nucleotide non-coding RNA. Lineage: Eukaryota; Metazoa; Chordata; Aves; Passeriformes; Passerellidae. The record is from RefSeq and is a predicted model, not a curated record.
CCGGGCCGGGCAGGGGACGGCGUGUCCACGUGUGUCCCCGCACACGCCCCGGAGCCGGCGCGCAGGCGGGGCAGUGGCCGCCGCUGUAAGUGUUCCUUCCCUGUCCGUCGCCCCCGUCCCCGUGCUUCCUGCCGGGUCCCGCCGCGCUCGGCUGGACGGGCCGGCGUCCCUGUCCCGCAGUGCUCCGCCACGCCUCGUGCGAGGGAGGCGCUGCUGGAAGUGACAUUUUCCGUUCCUGCCUUUCCUCACCAACUAAAUGGCUGCGCCCAGAGCAUAGGGAGCCGUGGAGGAGGCGGAAUGCAAGGCAGUAAGGAGCCUGCGGCCGGCGAUCGCUGCUGUCCUUUUUCACGCAGCUUGGAUCGAUGGCAUCCUUGUGGGCUGCUGGUGUCCUGAAAGAACUUUAAACGUGGAUGUGUUCGACCCUCUCAAAUCUGUUCCACUCAUUGUCCUCUUUACAGUGGAAACACAGUACAAGAGGUGGAUAAACUACAAUUUCAAUACUGUAAUCUUAUUCAAAAUUAUUUUUAGCACCGGGAGACUGAAUAUUCUCCUUCUGGAGUCAUCAUAUGUCAGAAUUGUUCAAGGCUUUGUAAAACUGUUGCCCAAUAGGUGAACAUGGAGCCACAGCUAGACCCCAUGAAGGAUGAUUUGCCUUUAAUGGCAAACACUAGUUACAUGCUUCUAAAGCACUAUGUAUUGGACUUGGAUGUGGAUUUUAAAAGUAAAGUUAUUGAAGGCAGCAUAGUUUUGUUCUUUGAGACUGGGAGCCAGUACAGGAAAACCAUCAGUGCUAGCAAAGAAUGCUGCCAGUCACAGUUUGACGAAACCUGUAAAAUGAGGGCAUCUGAACCCUGCCACAUUCCUAUGAUAAAUGUUAGUACCUGUUCAUCUAAAACGGAAUGUAAUGAUUUUGCUGUCAGUGGUAAAGAAGAGGAAGCUACUUCUGAUGGAAAUAGUAACCAUAGAAACAAUGAACAGGCUUCUGGGAUUUCUAGUUCAAAGGACUGCUGUGACAUAGAGGAUCAUGGAAACAAGGAUUUUCUGCUGGUAUUGGACUGCUGUGAUUUAUCUGUGCUAAAGGUUGAAGAGUUAGAUGUUGCUGCUGUGUCAGGCAUUGAAAAAUUUACAAGGUCUGCCAAGCUAACUGUUGUUUCAAAGGAGCUGGAAAAUAUCAGGAAUCAGAUUGUACAUGAACUUGUGACUUUACCUGCAGAUCACUGGAAGGAACAGCUAUACUAUUUUACUCACUGUAGCCAGGCACCUGGCUGUGGGGAGCUUCUGUUUAGUACUGGCACCUGGAGCUUGGAGAUAAGGAAAUCAGGAAUACAGUCUCCAGCGGACUUUCCUCAUGCAAUAAGAAUAUGGUACAAAACCAAGCCAGAGGGAAGAUCUGUUACAUGGACUACAGACCAGAGUGGCAGGCCAUGUGUUUACACAAUGGGAUCACCAAUAAACAACAGAGCCCUCUUUCCAUGCCAAGAACCACCAACUGCCUUGUCAACAUGGCAAGCCUCAGUUCGAACAGCUGCAGGCUUUGUUGUGUUAAUGAGUGGUGAAAACUCAGCAGAACCAGUACAGCUUCGAGAAGGUAUCUUGAGCUGGUACUACUAUGUGUCUAUGCCAAUGCCAGCAUCCACCUUCACUAUUGCAGUGGGGUGCUGGCAGGAAGUUAAACAGCAGUCCUUCAAACAAAAAGCUGCUAUUGGAACGAACACUGAAUUUUCCUUGCCAUCAUCACAAACUGAUUUAAGGUGGCAUGAAGAAAUCUGUGGUCAUGUGGAGUAUCCCUGCCGUUUCCAAAAUCCUGCUGCCAGGUUGCAAGCAGUCAUUCCUUAUAGAGUCUUUGCUCCUUGGUGCCUUAUGGAAAGCUGUGAAGAAUAUUUGCUUCAGCUAGUUCCUCAGUGCCUCUCAGCUGCUUAUGCCACACUGGGUACCCACCCCUUUUCCAGGCUUGAUGUUCUGAUAGUUCCUUCCAACUUUUCCAGCCUGGGAAUGGCUAGCCCACACAUCAUCUUUCUGUCACAGAGCGUACUGCCAGGAGGAAGCCAUCUCUGUGGAACUCGUGUGUGCCACGAAAUUGCUCAUGCUUGGUUUGGACUAGCCAUUGGUGCUCGUGAUUGGACAGAAGAAUGGAUAAGUGAAGGGUUUGCCACUUUUUUAGAAGAUAUAUUUUGGGCUAGAGCACAACAGCAGCUGCCACAUGAUGAAAUAAAAGAGCAACAGGAAUUGAAAGCUUUACUUCGCUGGCGCAGACUCAGAGAUGAGGUGCAAAACUCUGAAGAAGAGCUGCAAGUUUUAAGGCCCAAAAAGGAGAACACAGGAGAAGUGAGUGAGUCUGGAGCCUCUGUUGUCAAAUAUGGUCUUAAAGCAGAAAAAAUCUUCAUGCAGGUUCACUAUUUGAAAGGUUAUUUUCUUUUACGAUCUCUGGCAAGGAAAAUAGGAGAGGUCUCAUACCUUGCAUCUUUACGGAAAUUUGUCAUUAAGUUCCAUGGGCAGCUUGUCCUUUCUCAGGAUUUUCUUAGCAUGCUGUUGGAAGACAUUCCUAAACAAAAACAGUCUGGGUUAACUGUAGAAAGUAUCUUCCAGAACUGGCUGGAUUCUUCUGGAAUACCAAAGCCCCUGCUGGAGGAGGGAGAGACGUGGAAGGAGUGUCAGCUCGUCCAGCAAGUGAGCGGCGAGGUCACAAAAUGGAUUCAGACAAACCGGAGGAUCAGAAAAAGCAGCAAAAAGAAAAUGAAGCAGGAUGAAGUUGUUUUCCAGCAGCUUCUCCCUGACCAGCUGGUCUUACUUCUGGAGUUCCUCUUGGAGGAGAAGACAUUGUGUCCUAGAAUACUGCAGUGCUUAGAGAGAACAUACCAGCUCCAGGAGCAAGAUGCUGAGGUUCGUCAUCGGUGGUGUGAACUUGUCAUUAAACAUAAAUAUGAGCCUGGGUAUGGAGACAUUGAGAGAUUCCUUAGAGAGGAUCAGGCUAUGGGUGUGUAUCUCUAUGGUGAAUUAAUGGUGAAUGAAGAUGCAAAGCAACAAGAACUUGCACGGAAAUGCUUUGCUGCAGCACAAGAACAUAUGGAUGCAUCCUCAGCCAAAGUGGUGGCAGAGAUGUUAUUCUGAAAAGCCCAGCAGCGGGAGCAGUGAGUUACAUACAUGUAGGCAUAGCUGGAGAACGUGGAGAAUGGCUUUGUUGUAAUGGACUAUACAAGAGGCAACUGUAAGUCCAAAUGGCCAAAGAAGGCCAGGCUCUGCCUACAGUUGUUUCCCAUCCUGUAUUCCUAACUCUGCUUACAAAAGUUUCAAUUGUGCAAGGACCAUUUCUGUUUAAUAGAGCUGCGUUUUGACUUGACAGGCAGCAUAGUCUUUGAAAAAAAGCCUGAUCCCACAGUGGAAAUAUGAAACUGUGGACUUGGAAGCAAAUAUCGUGUGAGAACUAGCUGAUAAUUCAGGUUUUUUUGUGUUAAGGGUAUGAAGGUUUUGAAGAUUGAUUAUGAGGUAAGAAAAGUAGCCUUAACAGGAAGAAGCUAGCUUGUUUAUGAAAUUCAAGGAGCGGAAUCACCAGAAAAAGCUGAAUUGCAAAAAUAUUUAUGGGAAUGAUGAUUGCCAUAGGCUAUAAAUUUGCAAAGAUACUUUCCAAUUCUCUGUCUGAGCAGUUGGAGGUAGCCUUACAGUGUAUGCACAUGCAUGUUUAAUGUAUAACCCAUUAAGAUUUGUAUGAAAGUUUCUUAGAGUACAGCAUUUUUGGUUAAUCAAAUGACUCAUCCUACAGACUGAUUGCUGUGGUUGUUCACAAACUUUACAGCUGAUUUGUGGUAUCAAAAUUCAGUCUUCUAAUUUAGCAAAAAAAAUUGUCACCUAAUUGAUACCAAGGAAAAAUCUUAAUUUUCUUCUGUUCUAGCAGUACUAGAACUGUGAGUUCCGCUUGGUUUUGUAGUGGUUUUUUGCUAUGUUUAUAUGAAAUACAGCCAAUGACAGAUACUAUGAAAGCAAAUGUGAUUAUGAAAAGCCAUGUUGUUCUUCUGUAUAGACAAGAACUGUGCCUGCCAAGAAAACUUUUUGGGAAAGGUGAAUCAGACUGUAGAGUGGCAGGAUAUCAGUGGUGGGGUAGGAGAGACACCUUUUAAAACAGAGCUAAAGAGACUCUUUAGUGUACUCCCAAUUAUCAAGGACUCAUAGGAAUUUGAUUUAUGUUCAACAGUUCUUAAUCUUAAUCUGGUAGGUGUCUUCAAGUGUCUGAAGGCCAGAAACAAUAAAAUCAAAAUUUCUACAAGUUUCUGAUGGAAAGAUCACAGACAACUCUUUUAAUAGAUCUUCUGCUAAACUCCGAUGGUACUAGGAUUUCAUUGACCCAGGACAUCAAAGGAAGGAUUAUGUGACUGCUAAAACAAUCAGCUGACAGAAAUAUUUACCUUUCUGUAUUUCUAGAGGUCCACCGUAACUGAGAACGCAAGACAAACUACACACACAUGAGUUUCUCUGGGUCUAGGUAAUUCUUUGAAACAAGAAUUUUGGGAUUUAUCCUUGUGCUUUGGUAAUACAAUCAUUCUGGUUUGCAGAUGCCAAAGAUUCUUGAUUUGAACAACUUUAUUAAUUUGGGCAUUCUGAAAAUGGAUGGAGCUGUAUUGUGUACUUAAAAUUUUGUUUGUAACUUCUAUGUCAUAUUUAUAAAACCUCAGUGUGAAAUCAGCAGGGGCUGGGGUGGGGCUUGUAAGAUUAGAUAGAAGCAGAAAUAAACUGUGGAAAGUUACCUGCUAUCCUCCUAGUGAUGGGGUGGGACUGAAGAAAAAACAAAGAUCAUCAUGCUCUCUCUGUCAUGUUUAGGUGAAAUUUUACUAGAAGUGUCAGACCUCCCAUUUUCUGAAAGUGUCUUUCGUACUUUUGUGAUACUUAUUUUGCAAUGAUAUCUCAAGUGUAUCCUUUCCUGAUCAAUGAAUCUCUACAUUUUUAGAAGACAUCUUCAUUGUUCCUUUCAGAGAGUAAGAAUUUAAACCAAAAAACAAAAAUCUGUGAACUUAUUUCCCUUGUACUCUAUUGUUUUAUAUCAAAUCCUCUUUGAUAAUAAUAAAAUUAUCAAAUUUUUUUCGAGUA